Molecule: transfer RNA, 53 nt
Filed under: Calisoga longitarsis
Lineage: Eukaryota; Metazoa; Arthropoda; Arachnida; Araneae; Nemesiidae
Description: tRNA-Tyr
Source: RNAcentral
ACCCACAAAAUCAUUAGAUGAAAAGCUGUAAACUUUUUCAACUCUUCAAACCC